Cydia amplana is the source of this 845-nucleotide long non-coding RNA. RefSeq lists it as uncharacterized. The transcript is spliced from 3 exons. The record is from RefSeq and is a predicted model, not a curated record. NCBI's taxonomy places the organism in Eukaryota, Metazoa, Arthropoda, Insecta, Lepidoptera, Tortricidae.
UACCUUAAAUAUAAUUAAUGCGUCAUUGGUGGCUAACAUUUACUUUUUUCUUGUUCAGGUGUGGUAGCAGUAAAUGAAGGCUCAUCAUCUUUACCAAAAGUAGUUGAAGAAGCUAGAAGUCUCCCCGGCACAUACAGAUAUCAAACCUACGCCGUCCAAUUCCACCCAGGAGGUGGAACAAACACAGAAGCGUAAAGGUUCGAUUAUGAAGCAAUUAAGUUCAAAGGGAAGGAAAUUCGUUAAGAACGUGAUGAAUAUUGCGUCAUCAAGUUUGGGUCAGACAAGUGAAGAAAGACUUUCACAAACUAAAUCCUAUGGAAGUAACGAGCAGUUGAUUAAGAAUUUCGACCUGCUUAACAAACGGGCACAGACUGUGCUAAUGCAAUUAAAGCAAUGCCGCAACAACAAAAUGGCCAGAAGGUUCACGAUGAAGGAAAAACUUAUGGCUCUAAUGCUGAUGAAGCAAAGCCCAAAGGCAUAGAAACUCCUGGAAAACAUAAGAGGACAUUACAUAGACUUUCUGAAAAAAUAUGUAUGAAACCAGGAGUUAACGCACAGAUAUUUUCUCAUAUUCGAAAUACCGUGAAACACUGGGGACAACAGCAAAAGUUAUGCUCAAUAGUAUUUGAUGAAAUUGCAUUGACACCGUACUUAACAUACAAUGAAAGUAACGAUCUAAUUCAUGGUUUUGUGGAUGUGGCUGGCGAAAGGAAUAUGAAGUUUUGUGAUCAUGCCAUGGUCUUUAUGGUAAGAGGCAUAUGUUUUUCAUGGCGACAAUGUAUAUCAUACCACUUCUGCGAAGGAACAACAUCUACAGCCGAAAUGCAGGAAAUUUUAAAGCAAAU